This is a long non-coding RNA of Vidua macroura (Pin-tailed whydah), 202 nucleotides long. RefSeq lists it as uncharacterized. The transcript has 3 exons. The record is from RefSeq and is a predicted model, not a curated record. NCBI's taxonomy places the organism in Eukaryota, Metazoa, Chordata, Aves, Passeriformes, Viduidae.
CUGGAAUUGGCUCCAAACCUCAGGAAUUUUUACCUAAAACAUGUGGACUCAAUAUUCAGUACAGGAAUAGAGAGUCUUUGAGGGCGAGCAAAAAAAGGAGAUAGCUGGAGACAGGAUCUUUAUGUCUCACCAGUGCCCUGACAAGCACGACAAGCUGUAGAUCACACUGAGAAUCCACCUCCCACCUCUCACUAACCUGUGC